GUUAGGGAUUUGUAGCAGGCUCACUACAAUCACCUCGCUGACAAAGCAGUGAGCAGCAGAAGCAGAUGCGUUGGUGGUGUGUGUAGCUGUGAGUGUUUGGACUGAAGGCCCAAGAAUGCUAAAGUAAAUCAGCGCUCGGCAGGAUCACAAGCACCCUGGCAAUGGGAAGAACUUUUCAGACUCCAGAUAAAGCUAUUGGCAGCCUAUCAAGACUCCGCACUCAAACUUGCUCACAAAUGGCCUAAGGAGAUACUUCUUGGCUGCUCCGUACUUCCAGCACCUUCUGUUUCUGUUUUGGAUUUCCAGCAUCUACAGCGUCCUGGUCAAUGGAGGCUAACACCCAGGCCUGGGCUCUUUGGAGUGCUAGUGUAUCAUACACAGUGAUUCCAGGUCCUCAGCUUGUGCCUGUGUGUUGGCUGCCCUGGAUUCCAUAUGAUUCCAUCUCCAUCUCCAACAACCUUCCCUGGAUAGUCAAUGUCAUUACUAUUGCCAUAUCACCAACAGUUAAGGUUCCGGGGAUUCAUGAACAAGUCAGGGCAGGGUCGUCCUAAACACACGAGUUUGUGCAGAUGCUGGAAAUCUUGAGCAGCACACACAAAAUUCUGGAGGAGCUCAGCAGGUCAUGCAGCAUCUAUGGAGGGGAAUAAACAUUUGCCAUUUCAGGCUGAGACCAGGGUCUUAGACCAAAAUAUUCAUUCCCCUCCAUAGAUGCUGCCAAGACUGGGUAACCUGUGGUAAACAGCUCACGACCUGACUCUUCCACCAUCUACAUCAUGCAAUGUGUGAUAGCAAUCUCCAAACCUGCCUGGAUGAUAACAACCGCGGAAAGAUUCAAGAUUGUUUAAUGGAGUACACAAGUUUAAUGGAGAACAAAAUCAUUGUUGCUCUGGCUCGAGUGCAGCAUCAAAAAAAAACACAAUAUGAUAAAGAAUAAUAAAAAAUACAAUAAAUAUAAAUACAUAAGAUAGUUUAUAUACUGUACAUAGAUUUUUAUGUCCAUAGAGUGACAAUAAACACAGGAGUGCCUUUACAUAAGGUGACUGACAAGAAAUGAUAAAGUAGUGGUGGUUUGGAGUGGUUUCGUUGUUGGAGGUGUUGAUCAGCCUUACUGCCUGAGGGAAUUAACUGUUUUUUUCAGUCUGGUGGUCCUGGAAUAUCAGGAAUCUCAAAGCUACCCAGAACAAAGAAACUCAUUUGAUUCAUAUUACUAAUCAAGAAAAACAUUCACUCCCAGUACUAUCAGCACACCACGUCUGCAGUGUGUACCAUCUGCACAAUGCAUUACGGCUAAUUGACUCGGCUCCUUAAACUGCACACCCGAAUCGUCAAGAAGUGCAAGGCAAUAGGCACAUGGCAACACCACCGCCUGCAAACUCCCCCACCCCAGUUAUACAAGAUCCCAACUUUAUUCUUCAUUCAGCGUUGCGAGUGUAGCAGCUCAGGCCAACAUAUCAGCUCAUUGCUCUCCAUGCAAUAAUUGCUGGCCACGCGAGUGAAUCCACACCCCGAUGGCUCAUAAAAAAAGGCAAUUUCUGGAGAAUCACACUGGAGGCACUAAAUUUGUAUCAGGAGAUUAAACAUUUAAG
This is a long non-coding RNA of Hypanus sabinus (Atlantic stingray), 1586 nucleotides long. RefSeq lists it as uncharacterized. The record is from RefSeq and is a predicted model, not a curated record. The transcript is spliced from 4 exons. Lineage: Eukaryota; Metazoa; Chordata; Chondrichthyes; Myliobatiformes; Dasyatidae.